RNAcentral lists this ribosomal RNA (406 nucleotides) under uncultured Oscillospiraceae bacterium. RNAcentral describes it as "bacterial SSU rRNA". It matches the Rfam family "Bacterial small subunit ribosomal RNA", at positions 355 to 776 of the family's 1533-position model. The record is from RNAcentral. Lineage: Bacteria; Bacillati; Bacillota; Clostridia; Eubacteriales; Oscillospiraceae.
UGGGGAAUAUUGCGCAAUGGGGGAAACCCUGACGCAGCAACGCCGCGUGAAGGAUGAAGGUUUUCGGAUUGUAAACUUCUUUGAUGGGGGACGAAUAAAUGACGGUACCCCAAAAACAAGCCACGGCUAACUACGUGCCAGCAGCCGCGGUAAUACGUAGGUGGCGAGCGUUGUCCGGAAUUACUGGGUGUAAAGGGCGUGUAGGCGGGAUUGUAAGUCAGAUGUGAAAUUCCAGAGCUUAACUCUGGCGCUGCAUCUGAAACUGCGAUUCUUGAGUGCUGGAGAGGAUAGUGGAAUUCCUAGUGUAGCGGUGAAAUGCGUAGAUAUUAGGAGGAACACCAGUGGCGAAGGCGGCUAUCUGGACAGUAACUGACGCUGAGGCGCGAAAGCGUGGGGAGCAAACAGG